Molecule: ribosomal RNA, 715 nt
Filed under: uncultured bacterium
Lineage: Bacteria
Description: bacterial SSU rRNA
Rfam family: Bacterial small subunit ribosomal RNA
Source: RNAcentral
AUGGGUGAGUAACGAGUACGCAACCAGUCCUCAGGAUGGGGACAACGGCUCCCAAGAGCCGCUAAUACCUAAUGACGUAUCUCUUCCGCCUGCAACAUAUACUAAGUAUGGGUCAUACCAUCUUUUUUGGAUGGGCCUGCGUCUGAUUAGCCAGUUGGUGAGGUAACGGCUCACCGAAUCAACGAUCACUAACCGGUCUGAGAGGAUGAACGGCCAGAUGGGACUGAUACACGGGCCAUACUCCUACGGGAGGCACUCCUGGGGAAUCUUCCGCAAUGGGCGAAAGCCUGACGGAGCAACGCCGCGUGAGUGAACAACGUCUUCGGAUCGUAAAGCUCUGUUGUCGGGGACUAAAGAGUAGACGAGGAAAUGCGGCUACUGGACGGUACCUGACGAGGAAGCCACGGCUAACUACGUGCCAGCAGCCGCGGUAAUACGUAGGCGGCAAGCGUUGUCCGGAAUUAUUGGGCGUAAAGGGAGCGCAGGUGGGACGGUAAGUCCUGUCUUAAAAGGGACGGGCUCACCCCCUGCUUGGGAUGGAACCUAUCGAUCUUAAAUGCCGGAUAGGAAACCGGAAUUCCCACUGUAACUCCUAAUGCGUAGAUAUGUGCAACAAAUAUCAGUGAAGAACGGCGGGUUUUCUGGACGGCAACUCUGACUGAAGGCUCGAAAGCCAGGGAGAGCAAACGUGAAUUAGAUACCCCGGUACUCCUCC